GCAGCAGCCGCGGGAAUACGGAGGGUGCAAGCGUUAAUCGGAAUUACUGGGCGUAAAGCGCACGCAGGCGGUCUGACAAGUCAGAUGUGAAAUCCCCGGGCUUAACCUGGGAACUGCAUUUGAAACUGUCAGGCUGGAGUCUUGUAGAGGGGGGUGGAAUUCCAGGUGUAGCGGUGAAAUGCGUAGAGAUCUGGAGGAAUACCGGUGGCGAAGGCGGCCCCCUGGACAAAGACUGACGCUCAGGUGCGAAAGCGUGGGGAGCAAACAGGAUUAGAUACCCCUGUAGUCCCUGUCUCUUAUAA
Molecule: ribosomal RNA, 302 nt
Filed under: uncultured bacterium
Lineage: Bacteria
Description: partial 16S ribosomal RNA
Rfam family: Bacterial small subunit ribosomal RNA
Source: RNAcentral